Molecule: ribosomal RNA, 497 nt
Filed under: uncultured bacterium
Lineage: Bacteria
Description: partial 16S ribosomal RNA
Rfam family: Bacterial small subunit ribosomal RNA
Source: RNAcentral
GAUGAACGCUGGCGGCGUGCCUAAUACAUGCAAGUCGAGCGAACAGACGAGGAGCUUGCUCCUCUGACGUUAGCGGCGGACGGGUGAGUAACACGUGGAUAACCUACCUAUAAGACUGGGAUAACUUCGGGAAACCGGAGCUAAUACCGGAUAAUAUAUUGAACCGCAUGGUUCAAUAGUGAAAGACGGUUUUGCUGUCACUUAUAGAUGGAUCCGCGCCGCAUUAGCUAGUUGGUAAGGUAACGGCUUACCAAGGCAACGAUGCGUAGCCGACCUGAGAGGGUGAUCGGCCACACUGGAACUGAGACACGGUCCAGACUCCUACGGGAGGCAGCAGUAGGGAAUAUUCCGCAAUGGGCGAAAGCCUGACGGAGCAACGCCGCGUGAGUGAAGAAGGUCUUCGGAUCGUAAAACCCUGUUAUUAGGGAAGAACAAAUGUGUAAGUAACUAUGCACGUCUUGACGGUACCUAAUCAGAAAGCCACGGCUAACUACGUG